This 1153-nucleotide long non-coding RNA is filed under the name Homo sapiens (human). RNAcentral's name for it is "HSALNT0389144". Lineage: Eukaryota; Metazoa; Chordata; Mammalia; Primates; Hominidae. The record is from RNAcentral.
CCGGCGUUCACGCUGUGAACCAGCGAACUAGGCCACCGGCCUGACCCAGUUUUCCCUGUGGCCUGCCAAGCCAAGGAGAAGCAGACGCGGCCGGCGCAGGCGUCCAGGGUGACUCGGAGGCGUGGCUCUGCAGUCGCGGCUCUGCAGUCGCCUUGGAGCGGCUGCCCUUCCGACCCCGCCUGGGCUAUGACUCAUCUUCGGUGGAGGAGAAAGGGGCCUUUGUGAGCGCCCAGCUCCGGCGUCUCCUGGACAGCACCGCCCUCCGGUGGCCGCGAGUCAGGAGGGCUGGGGAAGCCGCCCGAGAGGCAGCGCCCGAGCUCCCCACGAGCUGCUGUGCCAUUGGAAGCGCCAGCGCCCUCCCCUCGGAGUCCAGCCAAGUCGGGGGGAAGACUGGGAGAGAAAUCGUCACCCCCUAGAGGGCAAGUGGGCUCAGCCCUAGGAAAUGCUUGUUUCUCCAGCCCCUCCCAGACGCCCCGGGGAAACGGCAUCCCAGAGCUCCGCUCCCUGGAGGCCCCUCCAGAGAGGGACCCGGGGCCCCGCCCCGCAGCUGGAGAAGGGGUGAAUGCCUUUCCUACCUAACGCCUGGUCCGCGGCCCUGCUUGUUGCGUCUCCAAGACCACGUGUCUGCUGCAUUUUAAAAAUAGUUGUGAACAUCUGACUUUCUCCUUUUGCUGGAGUGCAGUGGCACAAUCUCUGCUCACUGCAACCUCGGCUUCUCAGGUUCAAGCGAGUCUCCUGGCUCAGCCUUCCCAGUAGCUGGGAUUACAGGCGCGUGCCACCAUGCCCGGGUAAGUUUUGCAUUUUUAGUAGAGAUGGGUUUUCGCCAUGUUGACCAGGUUGGUCUUGAAUUCCUGACAUCAAAUGAUCCACCCGCCUCGCCCUCCCAAAGUGCUGGGAUUACAGACGUGGGUCACCAUGCCCAGCCCAGCCUUUCUCUUUUAGUAGAAUAUUUCCUCACUGGUUUGAAAUAUCACUUUGAUUAUAAACUAAAUGCUCGGGCCUAUUUCUGGCCAGGACCCUGACCUUAUACAUUAAGCCAAAGGAUAUGGACUUCUUAAAAAAAUCAUAUUAGGCCGCUAAUUAUGGAUUUAGGACAUUUAUUCACAUUGUUUUAGGCUCCAACUAAAAGCAGGCUUGAAUGAAGCAGCUGCAC